GAUUAGUGGCGAACGGGUGAGUAACACGUGAGCAAUCUGCCCUUGACUCUGGGAUAAGCGUUGGAAACGACGUCUAAUACCGGAUACGACCCUCGGAGGCAUCUCCUGGGGGUGGAAAGAAUUUUGGUCAAGGAUGAGCUCGCGGCCUAUCAGCUUGUUGGUGAGGUAAUGGCUCACCAAGGCGACGACGGGUAGCCGGCCUGAGAGGGUGACCGGCCACACUGGGACUGAGACACGGCCCAGACUCCUACGGGAGGCAGCAGUGGGGAAUAUUGCACAAUGGGCGAAAGCCUGAUGCAGCAACGCCGCGUGAGGGACGACGGCCUUCGGGUUGUAAACCUCUUUUAGUAGGGAAGAAGCGAAAGUGACGGUACCUGCAGAAAAAGCACCGGCUAACUACGUGCCAGCAGCCGCGGUAAUACGUAGGGUGCAAGCGUUGUCCGGAAUUAUUGGGCGUAAAGAGCUCGUAGGCGGUUUGUCGCGUCUGCUGUGAAAACCCGAGGCUCAACCUCGGGCCUGCAGUGGGUACGGGCAGACUAGAGUGCGGUAGGGGAGAUUGGAAUUCCUGGUGUAGCGGUGGAAUGCGCAGAUAUCAGGAGGAACACCGAUGGCGAAGGCAGAUCUCUGGGCCGUAACUGACGCUGAGGAGCGAAAGCAUGGGGAGCGAACAGGAUUAGAUACCCUGGUAGUCCAUGCCGUAAACGUUGGGAACUAGAUGUGGGGACCAUUCCACGGUCUCCGUGUCGCAGCUAACGCAUUAAGUUCCCCGCCUGGGGAGUACGGCCGCAAG
This 790-nucleotide ribosomal RNA is filed under the name Glaciibacter kafniensis. RNAcentral describes it as "bacterial SSU rRNA". It matches the Rfam family "Bacterial small subunit ribosomal RNA", at positions 90 to 892 of the family's 1533-position model. Lineage: Bacteria; Bacillati; Actinomycetota; Actinomycetes; Micrococcales; Microbacteriaceae. The record is from RNAcentral.